UAGAGCAGAGGACUGAAAAUCCUCGUGUCAC
This 31-nucleotide transfer RNA is filed under the name Trichocline catharinensis. RNAcentral's name for it is "partial tRNA-Phe". Lineage: Eukaryota; Viridiplantae; Streptophyta; Magnoliopsida; Asterales; Asteraceae. The record is from RNAcentral.